GAUGAACGCUGGCGGCGUGCCUAAUACAUGCAAGUCGAGCGAACAGACGAGGAGCUUGCUCCUCUGACGUUAGCGGCGGACGGGUGAGUAACACGUGGAUAACCUACCUAUAAGACUGGGAUAACUUCGGGAAACCGGAGCUAAUACCGGAUAAUAUAUUGAACCGCAUGGUUCAAUAGUGAAAGACGGUUUUGCUGUCACUUAUAGAUGGAUCCGCGCCGCAUUAGCUAGUUGGUAAGGUAACGGCUUACCAAGGCAACGAUGCGUAGCCGACCUGAGAGGGUGAUCGGCCACACUGGAUCUGAGACGCGGCCCAGACUCCUACGGGAGGCAGCAGUAGAGAAUCUUCCGCAAUGGGCGAACGCCUGACGGAGCAACGCCGCGUGAGUGAUGAAGGUCUUCGGAGCGUAAAACUCUGUUAUUAGAGAAGAACAAAUGUGUAAGUAACUAUGCACGUCUUGACGGUACCUAGUCAGAAAGCCACGGCUAACGACG
Molecule: ribosomal RNA, 495 nt
Filed under: uncultured bacterium
Lineage: Bacteria
Description: partial 16S ribosomal RNA
Rfam family: Bacterial small subunit ribosomal RNA
Source: RNAcentral